GGUCAGCUGACACAUCCCUGCCAAUCUCCGGCAGACCCUCCCUCCCAGACCCUCCCACCUCCUGGACAGCAUCCAUGUUGAAGCUGCCUUCAACAUGGAUGCUGUCCAGGAAGUAGGAGGGUGUGGGAGGGAGGGUCUGCCGGAGAUUGGCAGGGAUGUGUCAGCUG
RNAcentral lists this microRNA precursor (167 nucleotides) under Pelobates cultripes (western spadefoot toad). Lineage: Eukaryota; Metazoa; Chordata; Amphibia; Anura; Pelobatidae. The record is from RNAcentral.